UUUUGUUUUGGGGGUGGCAGGUGGAGAGGAUCUGAGAGGCAGCCUGGAGGUAGUGGCUAAAACCCAGCCUACUCUUGUGUCUGUCAUUGAAAAUUGGGAGGGCGUGUUUCUCAGUUGAUGCUGAUUUAUGUGUAACUAAUAGAGUGACGGGGAAAAAAAAGGAAGCCCGGUUUCUAAUUUUAUCUUCGUGGCACUUUACUAAAAAGCCCCUCAAGGUGGCCGGAAGUUGGAAGCCCUCAAGGCUUGAAGCCCUGGACCAGCAUGCAAAGGUGCUGGGCACGGAGUGAGGGCCCCCGGAGAUGAGACACCGCACAGCUUCCCAUCUGGGUAUCUGGCUCUCAGUAGCUAUUAGGGUGUCUUCUCUCUGACUCCUCAUUUGCAUAAUGUCAUACCCAUAUGGUGUUAUUUUAUUUACCUCUUGAAGGGGGAUGACUACUUUAGAAAGAGAGGAAGCCAGAAGACUUGACCUGAAGGCUUCCUCUGUCCCUCUCGCCCUGCUACCCUCAAUCGUUUACUCUCGUCUUUGCCUCUCUUUCUCUGGCCAUCUUGACUUUUGUAAAUGAGGACCUUGCUUGAGUGAUAGGAUCCAUUUCUUCCAGUGAAUGGUUGCCAGGGGCGCUUGUCUUGUUGAAGGGUUUAUCCUGGCAACAUUUACAGCCGGUGGUGAAUUUAAGCGCGACCUACUCCCAUUUCUUCACGAUGGAGGAACCUUUGAAAGUUUAAGAAGUCUACCGUGGCUGAUUCUGCUCAGAUAGAUCAAGGGCUUGACUUACGUUCUGCUUUGCUAUUUUUCUGGGAUUUCUGAAAACAGACUUCUUCAAUUUUGCCAUGUUAGGUGUGAAUUUUGCAGUUUACACAUAGUUCCUUAGAGCUCUUCAAGACAGAGUUUGCAUCCUGUGUUGGGGGAUUCUUGUAAAGUGGAAUUAUUCUUCUCAUCAAACAUUCUGUACUACUCUAUGAUCCAAAGAAAUGCCCAGAUUCUUCUAGAAUGGGCCCACUAGUGAUGCCUGGAUUGAAUUAAAGCAGCUGAUUCUCAAGCCAAGUGGCCAGAAGUUGGGCAACUCUACUGGCUCAUCCUCUGUGCUGUAUGGAAGAAACCAAGAUAAUGACACUUUCCCAAGGCUGGGGCUGGCAGCUAAUGCGCUACCGAACACCCAAGUUGGUUCUCAGGAAAUACCAUUGUACCAAGUGACACGGUCAACUUGCACCAUUACCUCCUCAAGCCCAACCCUAUAUCUGAAUUCUGGGGAGGAGACAGGACUUAAGGCUAAAGUGGGAUCACAGGCAAGUGGGAUCCUUGAGCUUCUUCACAAUUUAAAGCCUGGUGCAGACACAGAUGAGCCAUUAACCUGGGGAGCCCCAUGUUGAAGAUGAUGGAGCCUUGAGAUGGAGGAACCCGUUUCCUGGAAUCAGGAAGAGGACCACGGCUGAUCGAUGCCACCCAUUUUGGCUUUUACAUUUGUGAAGAUUUCUACUGUUUGGGACAAUACACAUUCUUGAAAUCUGUUUAUAAUAGCAGAUAAUAAUACUUUAAUUAAUGUUAUCACUUAUUAAUAAAAGGAAGAUCAAAACCUAAAUUUCAAUUAACUCAUGUUUAUGAUGAGUUGAUUUCCAGGGGAUUAAAAUUUUCUUACAAUCACUGCCUAGAGUUGUCUCUCAGAUUGUAGAGUCAGUCAGUGCCCAUGCAGGGGGAGAGAUGGAGGUUCAGUAAGGUGGGAUCAAGGGCUUCCAAAGUUCUUAUGGCCUUUCCCAAGCCAUUCCCCAGCCAGAGAACUAAUGCCUGGAAUGGAAAGGAAUGAAUAUCACCUCUGUUUUUGACCUUUAUCUCUGUCAAAAUGUAAACCCUCCAUAUCACGUUAAGCUCUUAUUUAUUAUUUAAACUGUUGUGUACAAGAAGGGUCUAAAGAACAGACAAAACUAAUACUGGCCUCUAGAUAACAUCCAUGAAGUGCAUUGAGAUCCUGGAUAAAAUUCAGUGUCUUGUUCCUGAAUUAAAAAUAAAAAAGUAUUCUGAAAAAAGGACUGCCUUUAAGUAGAGAAUUGUAAGGUAGGAGGCACAAUUCUUCUCCUUCCCAUUGACUGCACACUGUGUUCUCUGGGUGCAUCAGCAGUGCACGUAUAAAUCAUCCCUUUGGCAUUUGGGAGCACAAUUUUGGAGAUCUGAGUCAAUAAUGUAGUCAGCUACCAGUU
Non-coding RNA from Delphinapterus leucas (beluga whale), 2190 nucleotides. Lineage: Eukaryota; Metazoa; Chordata; Mammalia; Artiodactyla; Monodontidae. The record is from RefSeq and is a predicted model, not a curated record.